AUUGAACGCUGGCGGCAGGCCUAACACAUGCAAGUCGAACGGUAACAGGAAGAAGCUUGCUUCUUUGCUGACGAGUGGCGGACGGGUGAGUAAUGUCUGGGAAACUGCCUGAUGGAGGGGGAUAACUACUGGAAACGGUAGCUAAUACCGCAUAACGUCGCAAGACCAAAAAGGGGGACCUUCGGGCCUCUUGCCAUCGGAUGUGUCCAGAUGGGAUUAGCUAGUAGGUGGGGUAACGGCUCACCUAGGCGACGAUCCCUAGCUGGUCUGAGAGGAUGACCAGCCACACUGGAACUGAGACACGGUCCAGACUCCUACGGGAGGCAGCAGUGGGGAAUAUUGCACAAUGGGCGCAAGCCUGAUGCAGCCAUGCCGCGUGUAUGAAGAAGGCCUUCGGGUUGUAAAGUACUUUCAGCGGGGAGGAAGGGAGUAAAGUUAAUACCUUUGCUCAUUGACGUUACCCGCAGAAGAAGCACCGGCUAACUCCGUG
RNAcentral lists this ribosomal RNA (490 nucleotides) under uncultured bacterium. RNAcentral describes it as "partial 16S ribosomal RNA". It matches the Rfam family "Bacterial small subunit ribosomal RNA", at positions 30 to 507 of the family's 1533-position model. The record is from RNAcentral.